RNAcentral lists this ribosomal RNA (403 nucleotides) under Verrucomicrobiota bacterium. RNAcentral describes it as "Verrucomicrobia bacterium partial 16S ribosomal RNA". It matches the Rfam family "Bacterial small subunit ribosomal RNA", at positions 355 to 776 of the family's 1533-position model. The record is from RNAcentral. Lineage: Bacteria; Pseudomonadati; Verrucomicrobiota.
UGGGGAAUAUUGCACAAUGGGCGCAAGCCUGAUGCAGCAACGCCGCGUGAACGAUGAAGGUCUUCGGAUCGUAAAGUUUGGUUGCAGGGGAAGAUAAUGAUGGUACCCUGUGAGGAAGCGCCGGCUAACUACGUGCCAGCAGCCGCGGUAAUACGUAGGGGGCUAGCGUUAUCCGGAUUUACUGGGAGUAAAGGGUGCGUAGGUGGUCUUUCAAGUCGGUGGUUAAAGGCUACGGCUCAACCGUAGUUAGCCUCCGAAACUGGAAGACAUGAUUGCAGGAGAGGAAAGUGGAGUUCCCAGUGUAGCUGUGAAAAGCGUAGAUAUUAGGAGGAACACCAGUAGCGAAGGCGGCUUGCUAGACUGCAACUAACACUGAGGCACGAAAGCGUGGGUAGCAAACAGG